Molecule: ribosomal RNA, 508 nt
Filed under: uncultured bacterium
Lineage: Bacteria
Description: partial 16S ribosomal RNA
Rfam family: Bacterial small subunit ribosomal RNA
Source: RNAcentral
AUUGAACGCUGGCGGCAUGCCUUACACAUGCAAGUCGAACGGCGGCGGGGGAGAAGCUUGCUUUUCCUGCCGGCGAGUGGCGAACGGGUGAGUAAUACAUCGGAACGUGCCCUGUAGUGGGGGAUAACUAGUCGAAAGAUUAGCUAAUACCGCAUACGACCUGAGGGUGAAAGUGGGGGACCGCAAGGCCUCAUGCUAUAGGAGCGGCCGAUGUCUGAUUAGCUAGUUGGUGGGGUAAAGGCCUACCAAGGCGACGAUCAGUAGCUGGGCUGAGAGGACGAUCAGCCACACUGGGACUGAGAAACGGCCCAGACUCCUACGGGAGGCAGCAGUGGGGAAUUUUGGACAAUGGGCGAAAGCCUGAUCCAGCAAUGCCGCGUGUGUGAAGAAGGCCUUCGGGUUGUAAAGCACUUUUGUCCGGAAAGAAAUGGCUCUGGUUAAUACCUGGGGUCGAUGACGGUACCGGAAGAAUAAGGACCGGCUAACUACGUGCCAGCCGCCGCCGUAA